CAAGAUUGGGAUUACAGCACCAUUGCAAAGCACCAAAACAUGGUAGAAAACUCCCCGCAGCACAAACUUAUUUUAAUUAGGAUCAGAAAGCUACGAUAAGAUCAAAUGUUAUCAGGUACUCCAUAGCACAUUGAUCAAUCAAAGUUGCUUCAGUUCAGUCUAUUCAUCAGAGCUUCAUGCAUAUUAUUGUCCAGGACUACGCAAUUCCUUCCCUUGUCAAGACUUACGUACCACCGAUCCACGGAGGACCGAGCUUUGUAGACAAGCCUGCAUGUGGGGUUUUAU
RNAcentral lists this long non-coding RNA (285 nucleotides) under Oryza brachyantha (malo sina). Its description in RNAcentral is "long non-coding RNA (OBRA_LNC002290)". Lineage: Eukaryota; Viridiplantae; Streptophyta; Magnoliopsida; Poales; Poaceae. The record is from RNAcentral.